UCCGCCUGCCGCACACACGGACACUGUCCUGGCUCCUUCGGGUGAAUCUCUUCAAUCCCAUAUUCCGCUGUCAUCCUGGGUUGUUCCUAUCGGCCCUGAGUCCCAUAGGGCAGAGCCUCUGCCCCCCUGGUCACAGCAGCCUCAGCAGGGCAGGAAGGAGACUCAAAGGUGUUCUUGUCCAGGCCUCUGUCCCCGUGCCCGAGUCCUUUGCGGGUCAUGUCGCUGGAGGGUGGGUGUGAGUCCCCAGCCCUAGGACUAGGGAGCCCUCGUCUGCCCGGGACUUUGCCUCCCAGAAGUGGCCUGGAACCUGGGGAUGACAUGGAGGCGUGGCCCCAGCCCAGCCAAGACGUGGGCCGGCAGCUGAGGCUCUGGGGCAUUCCAAGGCCUCUGCCAGGCUCCUGGGCCCCAGGGCCUGCACACGGCGGAGCCCUCAGGACCCGUGCUUCUAGGCCUGGACUCGGGUAGAUGCUGGGAAAGGAAGGAUGCGCCCAGGGCAGUCUGUUGGGGUUGCACCAUGCUGAGAAAGGAGGUGCUAAAUGGUGUCCCCCCAGAGAUAAGCCCCUCCUCACUCCUGGACCUGCGGAUGAAGUUUAUUUGGAAAACGGCU
Molecule: long non-coding RNA, 607 nt
Organism: Octodon degus (degu)
Lineage: Eukaryota; Metazoa; Chordata; Mammalia; Rodentia; Octodontidae
Exons: 3
Source: RefSeq, a predicted model, not a curated record